CCCUUAGAUGUUCUGGGCCGCACGCGCGCUACACUGAAGGGAUCAGCGCGUUUUCCCUUCCCGAGAGGGACGGGUAACCCGCUGAACCCCCUUCGUGGUAGGGAUCGGAGCUUGCAAUUGUUCUCCGUGAACCAGGAAUUCCCAGUAAGCGCAAGUCAUAAGCUUGCGUUGAUUACGUCCCUGCCCUUUGUACACACCGCCCGUCGCUACUACCGAUUGAACGUUUUAGUGAGGUAUUUGGACUGGGCCUUGGGAGGUUUCGGCCUCCCUUGUUGCUCGGAAAGACUCCCAAACUUGAGCGUUUAGAGGAAGUAAAAGUCGUAACA
RNAcentral lists this ribosomal RNA (326 nucleotides) under uncultured eukaryote. RNAcentral describes it as "partial 18S ribosomal RNA". It matches the Rfam family "Eukaryotic small subunit ribosomal RNA", at positions 1470 to 1796 of the family's 1831-position model. The record is from RNAcentral.